This 523-nucleotide ribosomal RNA is filed under the name uncultured bacterium. Its description in RNAcentral is "bacterial SSU rRNA". It matches the Rfam family "Bacterial small subunit ribosomal RNA", at positions 371 to 884 of the family's 1533-position model. The record is from RNAcentral.
AUGGACGAAAGUCUGACGGAGCAACGCCGCGUGAGUGAUGAAGGUUUUCGGAUCGUAAAACUCUGUUGUUAGGGAAGAACAAGUACCGUUCGAAUAGGGCGGUACCUUGACGGUACCUAACCAGAAAGCCACGGCUAACUACGUGCCAGCAGCCGCGGUAAUACGUAGGUGGCAAGCGUUGUCCGGAAUCAUUGGGCGUAAAGCGCGCGCAGGUGGUUCCUUAAGUCUGAUGUGAAAGCCCCCGGCUCAACCGGGGAGGGUCAUUGGAAACUGGGGAACUUGAGUGCAGAAGAGGAAAGUGGAAUUCCACGUGUAGCGGUGAAAUGCGUAGAGAUGUGGAGGAACACCAGUGGCGAAGGCGACUUUCUGGACUGUAACUGACGCUGAGGCGCGAAAGCGUGGGGAGCAAACAGGAUUAAAUACCCUGGUAGUCCACGCCGUAAACGAUGAGUGCUAGGUGUAGAGGGUAUCGACCCCUUCUGUGCCGCAGUUAACACACUAAGCACUCCGCCUGGGGAGUACG